UCACGCUGCGCAUCAGCAUUCUUCGGCCAAUUCGCUCCACCCCGACCAAAACCCUAGCCGCCGGGGGACGGCCAGCUCCGUCGCGGCGUUGCGGGGAGGCCGAGGCGCGAGGCGAACAUCAACAGCGACUCUGUGCCGUCCUUCCCGCUUCGACGAUGCGUGGGGGGCCACGGGUCUGUGUAUUUUGGCACGGGUCUUUCCUAUAAAUCUGCUGCUUCAAUUUUGUGCUUUAAGAUUCUGCAUUGCCCCAACUGCUUUCUACAACUUGGAAGCUAACAUCUUCAAAAUUAAUCUACUUUGGUGCUUUAAGAUUCUAGCAUUGCCCCAAAUGCCAGCUGAAUUUGAAUGCUGCUGUGACGGUCCACUUCAUGUACUAUGUCAAAGUAUCUGCAAAGGGGGAAGAGAACAGAGAUAGACGAUCUGAAACUCUGCUUGCAUUUCUUUAUGCGUAACCGCUACCAUCUCUUGCAGUUCAUAUGCAUGGAUUUUUUAAGGAAACAGCAGUGUGCUGCCUAUGCAUUAAGAAGGAAGAGUUUUACAGGAGAGCUGUAAAAUAAUUACAAGAAGCUGAUACCCUGAAUCAGCUUGAAUCCGAUUUGAGCUUGAAGGAAGCUGAUACUUGGCCUGCCGAGAUGCCUGUGGCCGUGAGAAGGCCGCAACUGAGCUGAGUUGUGCAAGCACUACAACACACCAGAGGACUUUGUCAUUCACUGCUGUGUUGGCCAUUUCUACAGUGUUGAUGGACAAUUUGAGGCCUGGAAAGGCGGCCACGAGAAGGCACUGGUUGCCUUCUGUGGAAUGGCUCGUACUUCCACAAAACAUCUGCAUGCAGAGUUGCAGAAAUAGUGUGGUCUGCGUGGAGCUGUGCAGACUGUUGUUGUGUUGCAAUAGGUUAAACCGUUAAAUAUUUAAGUGUUGCCAAGGUCUUGAUGGAUAAGUGUUCCGAAUAGUUUGUUGUAUGGAAUACAUUGGUAAUACAAAGGCUGGCUUGAAGCUGGUGAAACUGCUACUCAGGGAGGCGUUUGUGCUGGAGGCGAUGGGUAUCAUGCCUUCCAAGGAUGCUGUGUUGGCUGUUCUAACCAUGAGAAAAGGUGAGAUGCAAAACUGUCCCGACACCGCCAUCUCCUUCAACAAGCUCGGCCUUUUUGAAGAUAUCGGGAAGCAAUUGAGGAACUACCUGGCUAAUACGGAGACCUCGAUACAUCUCCCAUACCUCCGCCGCGGGGAGGCCUGUCUCGAAGUCAUGGCAAAGGCUACCUUUCAUUGCUUCUAUGAGCUCUGGGUGGAAUGCCAAAGAUUGCACGGCCAGGAAUCCCUAGCAAGCAGCAAGCAGUUACUUGGCCAGUAUACUCAUUCGCAGCAUCACUCUGGUCUCUGGCCAGUCAUGUUUGCAGCUUGCAGUGUUAAACUUUGGCGGAGUAGAAAUGACAGAGUUUCAACAGAAUACAGACUUCCACUGCAUUGAUCAAAGCCAGGAUCUGGGACAACCUUAGGUUGUGGACCUGCCGUUGAAGGAAGGAUUCCCGCCCCCUGUGGCUUUUCUGAAUAUAAGGAAUUCCUAGCAACAUCAAUCACCAAAAUGAAAUCACCUGAAGCUGAUGCGUAUAUUGUGAAAGCCAAACAAAAGGCAUAACUGAAGUGUAUGUGUUCAGGUCCUAACCAGGAGAGUAGGUGAGAUGCAAAACUGUUCCGACGCCGCCAUCUCCAUCAACAAGCUCGACCUUUUUGAGCAUAUCUGGAAGCAAUUCAGGCACCAACUGGCCAAUACGGAGGCCUCCAUAGAUCUCCCAUACAUCGGCCGCGGGGAGGCCUGUCUCGAACUCAUGGCAGAGGUUCCCUUUCAUUGCUUCUGUGAGUUCUGUGUGGCUUGCCAAAGAUUGCAGAGUGAGUUCUAGCCUCUUGCUACAUGGAUUUUUUCUGUGUAGAACACGAGUCAUCGCAGUUGUUGGAAUAUGUGGCUGACAGGCUGAGAUGUCACCGUCAGAAUAUUACAGUGUGAAUAGACAAUUUACGUUAAAAGAAAUCUGGUGUUUA
Triticum aestivum (bread wheat) is the source of this 2034-nucleotide long non-coding RNA. RefSeq lists it as uncharacterized. NCBI's taxonomy places the organism in Eukaryota, Viridiplantae, Streptophyta, Magnoliopsida, Poales, Poaceae. The transcript is spliced from 7 exons. The record is from RefSeq and is a predicted model, not a curated record.